This 491-nucleotide ribosomal RNA is filed under the name uncultured bacterium. RNAcentral describes it as "partial 16S ribosomal RNA". It matches the Rfam family "Bacterial small subunit ribosomal RNA", at positions 28 to 507 of the family's 1533-position model. The record is from RNAcentral.
GAUGAACGCUGGCUACAGGCUUAACACAUGCAAGUCGAGGGGAAACGACGGGGAAGCUUGCUUCCCCGGGCGUCGACCGGCGCACGGGUGAGUAACGCGUAUCCAACCUGCCUCUGACUGAGGGAUAACCCGUCGAAAGUCGGCCUAAUACCUCAUGGCAUCGUCUGCGGGCAUCCAACGACGAUUAAAGAUUUCAUCGGUCAGGGAUGGGGAUGCGUCUGAUUAGCUUGUUGGCGGGGUAACGGCCCACCAAGGCUACGAUCAGUAGGGGUUCUGAGAGGAAGGGCCCCCACAAUGGAACUGGGGCCAGGGCCAAACUCCUACGGGAAGCAGGAGUGAGGGAUAUUGAGCAAAGGGCGGGAGCCUGAAACAGCCAAGGAGGGGGCAAGAAGACGGGCCUAUGGGUUGUAAACUGCUUUUAAGGGGGGAUAAAGUGAGGGACGUGUCCUUCAUUGCAGGUACCGCAUGAAUAAGGACCGGCUAAUUCCGUG